Molecule: ribosomal RNA, 594 nt
Filed under: uncultured Bacteroidota bacterium
Lineage: Bacteria; Pseudomonadati; Bacteroidota
Description: bacterial SSU rRNA
Rfam family: Bacterial small subunit ribosomal RNA
Source: RNAcentral
CAACCUGCCGAUGACUCGGGGAUAGCCUUUCGAAAGAAAGAUUAAUACCCGAUGGCAUAGUUCUUCCGCAUGGUGGAACUAUUAAAGAAUUUCGGUCAUCGAUGGGGAUGCGUUCCAUUAGGUUGUUGGCGGGGUAACGGCCCACCAAGCCUUCGAUGGAUAGGGGUUCUGAGAGGAAGGUCCCCCACAUUGGAACUGAGACACGGUCCAAACUCCUACGGGAGGCAGCAGUGAGGAAUAUUGGUCAAUGGACGAGAGUCUGAACCAGCCAAGUAGCGUGAAGGAUGACUGCCCUAUGGGUUGUAAACUUCUUUUAUACGGGAAUAAAGUGAGGCACGUGUGCCUUUUUGUAUGUACCGUAUGAAUAAGGAUCGGCUAACUCCGUGCCAGCAGCCGCGGUAAUACGGAGGAUCCGAGCGUUAUCCGGAUUUAUUGGGUCUAAAGGGAGCGUAGGCGGACGCUUAAGUCAGUUGUGAAAGUUUGCGGCUCAACCGUAAAAUUGCAGUUGAUACUGGGUGUCUUGAGUACAGUAGAGGCAGGCGGAAUUCGUGGUGUAGCGGUGAAAUGCUUAGAUAUCACGAAGAACUCCGAUUG